CUUUAAGGCCCCCCGCCUGAAGAGGAAGACGAGGGCCAACAGGGGAGGCUCUCGGGCAAAAAGAGGGGGGCGCAGAGGAAAGGUGGGAGGUGUGGAGUCAGAGUCCUCUUCAGGGUGGGCCUCUGAAGACAGCGUCUCCUCAGGGGGGACGGUCACCAGCAGGCACGGGGUGGGGCAGAUGAAAGCGUUCCUGCAGACCACCAAGAACCAGAGAGGAGUGGAGCUGGAGGACUACUUCUCCGACUUGGAGAAGUUUGCGCGCUCCGUUCGACAUGGCUGCACGAAAAAGGGUGGGGCAGACUACACCCAGCAGGAGGUUUUCCGACUAAGGAAGAUCAACCUCAAGAUCACCAGGGAUGGAGGAAAUGGGGCUGAGUGAGGCGUCUGACCGGCGGAGGAGGAUCCUGAGCAAGAAGACGGGCAAAUGAGAUGAAAUGAUUGUAAUUGUUUUUUUUAUAUAAAAUAAAGGUUUUUCAAAAAUCAAAAAUCUCUGUAUCUAUGUGUCUCUAUCUCUAUCUCUGUCUGUCUAUCUCUAUCUAUGUGUCUCUAUCGCUCUCUCUGUCUGUCUGUCUCUGUUUCUCUCCCCCCCUCUCUCUCUGUGUCUCUCUCUCUCUGUGAUGCUUACCUGCUGCAGAGUGACGUUCCGCAGCGGAAAGACCUCCCUUUCUUUAGAGAUCUGUUUUAUCGUGGACAGCUAGAGAAGAUGGAUUUGUGGGUUAAUUCACAUUUUAUACCAUUAUCCACAAAUUCCUACAAUUUGAUGUAAUGUAAACUUCACUUACUUCGAUCACUUCCCCCUCCACGGUCAGAAACCCCUUGGCGUUCCUGCAGGUGCUGAGGGGCGUCAGUGGUGAGAGUGGACGGAUGAGGGCCUCCGCCUGCUCUUUUAAUUCUUCGGAUAGUGCUAUAGGAGCACUUCUAAAGAACAUAGUGUCCUUAUUAACCACUAUAAUAUAGGGUGGAGAGUUCCCUCUCAGGGAAUGCCCCUUUAUAAAAUAAUGGCCACCCUCUUUAAAUUUCCCCCCGAACUCUUCGUAGGAAGCCAGUUUUCCCACUGACUCCCCAUCUGAGACUGCGGCCAGAAUAUUUUUUUUGGUUGUAACUGGCCUUGCACCUGCGGGAUCAAAGUCCCAGACCACCACCUUGCUCUGCUCCACCAUCCCCACGACACACAGGUGGAUCGGUGGGGGUCGGAAAUAAGGGGUGGGGGGCUUUGUCCACAAGAGUGCAUGUAACGCCAUUCUGAAAUAAUACAAUAAACACAAAGUAAGGAUAAAUUAAAGAAUAGGACAGUAUUAAAAAAGGCUUACGCUUCUCUUAUAUAUUAUCUUUAGCGUAAUAGUGUUAUAAACUAUAUAAUGUCCUUUUAAGAGUGCCUUGAAUUGACUUAAAACAGGAGAGUGAUUGGAAAUAACAAGAUAUAUAACUUAGCAAUCUUUAAAAUGAUUAUUUGUUAGCAAUUUCAUGUUUUUUGUAAUUAAAAUAUAUAUGGACUUAAUUAAUUUGAGGUAUUCUUAAUAGUGUUCAAGUUAUUAUCACAUUAGAAAGGAAAAACCCUCUUGAAAGUAUUCUAAUUAUCAUCAUUAUCAUUUGAGAGGAAAAACGCUUACCUUUCUCUUAUCUUGUCGUACGUUCAAUGAAAAUCUAAAAUGUCAGCAGUGGUGUGAGGCUCACUAAAGCCUUUUGAUCUCACCGCUUCGGACGUAGUAACCAGUGAGUGAAGGCUCAUCAUUGGAGAGAAAUGUGCAAUGUGACAGUGAUUGGCCGACAAACAACAACAACUUACACUCGCGGGUGAGAUGAAAGCGCUCGGUGAGGCGCAGAUCCUCUCCAAACAAUGGCUGAUGACGCUUAGUAUUUGUUCAACCUGAUACAAUUUGCAAGAGGUGACUCUAAAACUAUAAACUAUACUUUAUUGAGCGAUAUUAACCCUCCUCUCACAUUUGUUUCUCCCACUUUACUUAAGUGUUCCAUCUGUUUUAACUGCUCUUAUAUUAACACAAAAAUCGUUACUGAUCACCCCAUUUAGUAUAACAUCUUUUUAAUUUAAGCUGCAAACAAUGUCUCAGACUAGUGGUUUUUACACUUUUCAGCUCACCUGUUUAUAUUUGUUUAUUUAUUGGAUCUAUGUACUGGAUUUAUAUUAUCUAGAUGUUUUUAUUAAUAAUCCAUUGAGCUUUCUGACUGAAUUCCACUUUGUGCUUGGUGUGACAUUGAUUGAUUGUUGCAGAAAUAGACAUGAUUUUCUUUUGCGUUCGACUUCUGAAUUUCCAAGUGCCCCCUGAACGCCUCAGUGAACACUACAACUGAACUGCGCAUGCGCACCCUGCCGUCCUGCCGUCUUCUCUGGUAAGUAAUUGUGAGCCGCUAACGGAGAAUGAUUUAAUCGAUAUAAAUACAAUAUAAGGUUUUAAAAAGCCGUUGAGGUUAGUUGGUAACUCAUAGAGUUUAUAACUACAUGGAUGAAAGUGAAAUAUUACCCAUGUAUUGCAUAUGCUGACGCUUGCUUAACACUAGCAUAGCAGCUAUUGUGACUUUAGCAUGUUAAGUUAACGUUACAUAUGAGUUGGGGGUAUGCCACGUUUUUAGUUAACGUUAACUGACGCGGUAGUUAGCUAACUAAGUCACCGGUUAGCUAGCUAACGUUACUAUUAUCAGUUAACGUGGCUAAAGUCAGUGCUAGCCGAUAUGCUAGUGUUAGCUGACCGUUAACGUCAUGACGCCAUGUUCACACCCAACGUGGCGCAAAUUUCUUGUGCUAUUGUUAAAGCGUAACCUACAACAUGACGCGUUUAUAGGCUGCUCUUGUUCUUACUAUAUUGUAGCUUCUUUGCUCACAUAGAGCUCUAUGAGACAUGUUGGUACAGAACGAAUUAAACUAUGUGCAUACCACUAUGGUGUAUAUAAUGACGCCGUACGAGUGUUGGUGGAGCUGCUACAAUGUUAGCUUAGGCUAGCACUGCUCCAUCCAGGCUCCAUUCAGAAAACGAGCAUUUUAAAGUUCGGUGCUCUUCCGUCUUGCCGACAGAAGUAACAAAACAUGAACAAAAAAAAUCGACAUAAUUCUGUUAUUUCGCUUGUUAUUCGUUUAUUGCAAUUAAGUAAAAUCUCUUUAUUCUGGGCUCUUACUGCUGCACUGUAACCAGUCGCCAUGAUCUAUACCGUGCUUACGUGUGAUAGUGCAGCUCGAUCGUCUACGGAUGUCGUUACCAUCCGUAAAGACCUGGCAAAUGUGGGCCUUCCACAUCACGUAAAACGCAGAAAUUUAGUUAAUUUGUCCAUAGCUGAUCCCCCUCCAGUGCGUCAUGACGCCAAAACCCACAAAUAUUCCCACAGAGAAUAUCCAGCUCCUCCGGUCAUGUUAUGUAGUUACAGGAAGGAGUUACACACCAAUGUCAUGCCUUUUAAACCGCCAACACAUUAGUAAAAACGUCAGUAGGAACAAGCUAAUUUCUAACAUGAAUACUGUUAAUGCUCCUUAGGUCGUUUACCAGCAGUUUAAGCUGUUACCAGCAUGUAGUAACAUUUAUGGCAAGAAUAGUGGUAUAUAUGAUGAGCAAGAGGCUAGAUAUUAUUAUAAUUAUUAUUAUGAUGUAUAUUGCAUUUGAAAUCCUGGCUUGUUUCUUUUAACCAGAGGCUACACACACACAAACUAAUGAAGACUUAAACAAUGCAUGACAACGGUUGAGUUAAUUCUUGAUUUCCCAUAUGAUGCUGGUAGUAAUAAAGAGUAGUAUUCUACCUCUGUAAUGUAUGUAUUGAAUAGAUAAUAUAUUGAAUAGACAGGGUUUUUUUUUGUGUGUUUGGCUUGAAGCUUUAACCCGCUUACUGUCUUUUUGUCAUAUUGUUUCCUCUGGCAGACAACAGAACAUCGAUCCAUAUCUCCAUUUUGGUUGGCUGACUCUGAAGUACCAUCACUGCUGGUGACUUCACAGUGUCCUGCUGUGCAGCAUCUCUCCUCUAUCACGUUGGCUCUCUAUCUCUCCUAUACCUUGUAUCCACUCUGUCUACAAGUUGGCUCUCUAUCUAUCCUGUACCUUGUAUCCACUCUGUCUACAAGUUGGCUCUCUAUCUAUCCUGUCACAUCUACCGCUCUGUCUUUUGCAUAUGGCAACUCACACUUUGUGUCCCCCUCUAUCCCACUCUCACGUUGGUAAUCUUUGGCAAUGGAAUGGAACAAACUCUGGAAACCUUUCUCUGAACUGAACUGAAUUUUGGACUAAGCUCUGUUGGCUCGACUUGGGUUACUGGUACCUAAUCUAUCUGACUUGAAUACUCUGAGAGACUCUCUUCUCUCACCCUCACCUCUUACCUCUCCUAUCUACAACUUAUACACUUAUCUCUAGAACACUAUUGCUGUUUUUGCAACUCGGACAAAGCAUUUAUACUAUUUCCGAGACUUUUUCCCAACACAUUGGUUAAACAAAACUGAAAAGUUAAUUCAGAAACUGAAAGAAACCACACAUAACCUACAUAUUUUGUUGUAAUUGAUAAAAAGUACCUUUUAUCAUUUAGAAUUGAAUGGUACAUUUUCAAAUAUAUAUUUCGAGUAAAUCAUUACAUUAACAUAAUUCAAGAAAGUUGCUCCCUUGUUACUUUACAUAAAAACAAUUGUAGUAAAAGUCUAUAUCAUAUAAAAGGAAUAGUUAAUUUCCUGAUCGUUGUUGCUUUGGAGCUCCGCUGGUUUGUACCCAAAGCUUUGUUUUGGUAGCAGUACUCUAGAAAUCUGUAAUAACAAUUUCCUGUAUAAACGUACAUUAUUUCAAACAUUCAGUGUAUUUGUGUGUUUAGUUGUUUCACUUUGUUCAUACUGAAAUAAAACAAAGCCAUCUAUAAGGAGGAAGUGGAUUCAUUGGGAGUUGCUGCCUUCUGUCUGCAGGCCCGACAUUCAGAAGCUUUCAUCCAUCAUCACGUUGCCACGACAACGCUUCCUGAUUUAAUAUAAACCCAAGUAUUAUAAGUUGUUCUCUUGGUGUUCUUGAUCAGUAAAAGCAGACAAAGGUUUAAUCUAUUUUCACAUUCUGCUUUGUUAAGUUACUUUUACCAUUAAUAUUGUGUUUAGUACCUUGGUUGUGUACAAUACAAGUAAAACAAUAACAUUUGUGGUUUUGAAACACAACAAUGCCCAGAAAGAGUAAGAGGUCACAAGCUCAGAGCCAGCGCUGGCAGCGGACCAAAGAGAAUCCCUGUGCAACAACGACUGAAGGAGCAGAAUGUGUUGGUCCUGAGAGCAGUGAAGAGGUAAAGAUGUCUGCAGAGUCUCAUGCUGGAAGUGUGAAACAGGGAGUUCCAAGUGAGUCACAGGUAUCGUAUGCAGACGCAGUAAAGAGUGGACGUCACAGUGAGGAUCCAUGUACAGCAGGACCUUCUAAUGUCAGGCAGGUAAACCUUAGAGGUCAAGGUGAUGAGUCAUGUGUACCACAGGUAUCAGAUACUGUAAAGAGAGGACAACCCAGUAAAGAACCAUGUGCAGCAGGACCUUCUAAUGCAGACUGUGUAGACCCUGGAGAUCAGCCUUCUGAACAACAUGUCCGUGCAUCCCACAGCCAGGCUUCUAUCAGAUACGGCAGAUCCAGAAAUCGGCAGUGCACCUGUAACUCACUGACCUUUCUUGCAUUCCUCCAUGAGAAUGAAAGCAUCACCAGAGCAGACCUGGACCAUGUUUUGGAUAAAGGUAACACGAUGUAUAGAGAAACCAGGAAACAAGUCACUAAUCACAUCUAUCUGACCACCGACGAGCUCACUGAUGAAGUUCCUGCACGCAGCGCUACACACCAUGCAGACAUGACUCAGCUUUCAAGGUACGGCACAUUAGGAGAACCUUUACCUGGAGCUGUGGACAGCUUUCUGGACCUGGAGUCAGGACUCAGCUGCUUGUUGUCAGAUGUGAAGUACGCUCUGCUGUUGAUGAGACUCUUGUGUAUCGCAGUGUUCAGAACCAAGUCGGGCAGAUACGGUUUCUUUGACCCACACUCCAGAACAGCCAGAGGUUUGCCCCUACCAGCCGGUUCACGCACACCAGGUACUGCUGUCAUGGUGACAUUCUCACGUCUCAGUGACAUGAUUGACAGGCUCAAGAAGUCCCACAGAAUGAUGGACACACAGUCCUCUUGUAACUAUGAGUUGAAACCUGUGGAGUUUUACAAUGUGAACACAGUCAACCUGAACGAUGGUCUCCCAAACACAGACUGCAGACCUACAGCUGUCCCUGUGGAUGAAUCAAACUCACCUACAGCCACUGAUGAGACCAGUUCACCUGAAACGACUCCUCACACUCCAGCUGUAAAUCAACCAGAGGUCUUCAUCACAAC
Long non-coding RNA from Gasterosteus aculeatus aculeatus (three-spined stickleback), 6311 nucleotides. The record is from Ensembl. Lineage: Eukaryota; Metazoa; Chordata; Actinopteri; Perciformes; Gasterosteidae.